AACGCAUAUUGCACUCUCUGGCAUUCCGGAGAGUACACCUGUUUCAGUAUCAAAAAUGUCAUCCAAAGUUUUGGUUUGUUUGUAUACCAAAACUUAUGGGAUUUGGGUUUUGCGGAAAAUUUUCUGCUGGCCUUAAAUGGUUCGGCCACAAAAAUCCAGGCGAUAAGGCGUAAUAGUUGGUACUCUUGGUUCCAUCCUUUCGCUGAAGCUUGUCAUUUUUGAAUCAAUGGCUCGAUAAUAUGGAAAAAACGAAAUGUAUUUAUAUGUUUCACCAUUGUUUGGAUCUGAAAUCAGGUGGGACUACCCGCUGAACUUAA
This 317-nucleotide unclassified non-coding RNA is filed under the name uncultured fungus. RNAcentral describes it as "partial contains 5.8S ribosomal RNA, internal transcribed spacer 2, and large subunit ribosomal RNA". The record is from RNAcentral. Lineage: Eukaryota; Fungi.